UCUCAGGUGGCUCAGUGGUAAAGAGUCUGCCUGCCAAGCAGGAGACCCAGGUCCGGUCCCUGGGCAGGGAA
RNAcentral lists this transfer RNA (71 nucleotides) under Bos taurus (domestic cattle). It matches the Rfam family "tRNA". Rfam says of the family: Transfer RNA (tRNA) molecules are approximately 80 nucleotides in length. Their secondary structure includes four short double-helical elements and three loops (D, anti-codon, and T loops). Further hydrogen bonds mediate the characteristic L-shaped molecular structure. tRNAs have two regions of fundamental functional importance: the anti-codon, which is responsible for specific mRNA codon recognition, and the 3' end, to which the tRNAs corresponding amino acid is attached (by aminoacyl-tRNA synthetases). tRNAs cope with the degeneracy of the genetic code in two manners: having more than one tRNA (with a specific anti-codon) for a particular amino acid; and 'wobble' base-pairing, i.e. permitting non-standard base-pairing at the 3rd anti-codon position. RNAcentral also lists the same sequence under 5 other names. The record is from Rfam by way of RNAcentral. Lineage: Eukaryota; Metazoa; Chordata; Mammalia; Artiodactyla; Bovidae.